UUAUGGAUCCCCAUUUAGUUCCUGCCAAGGCAGCAGCUACUCUUCCUGGGGUUUAUUAUGGAUCCCCAUUUAGUUCCUGCCAAGGCAGCAGCUACUCUUCCCUGAGGUUUAUUAUGGAUCCCUAUUCGUUCCUGCCAAGGCAGCAGCUACUCUUCCUGGGGUUUAUUAUGGAUCCCUAUUAGUUCCUGCCAAGGCAGCAGCUACUCUUCCCUGAGGUUUAUUAUGGAUCCCUAUUCGUUCCUGCCAAGGCAGCAGCUACUCUUCCUGGGGUUCAAACACAUUAAGACACUUACAUUACAUAUAAAGCAAAAGAUAAAACAGUACAUCAUAUGACAUUAUUACACCACUACAUAUCUACAAUGCACAAUGUUUUUAAUACCACCAUACAACAAUAUUACAAUGUAUGUGUGUGUCUGUACCUUUGUGUGUGUCUCUUCCAUAAGGUGUCUUUUUUUCUGACUUUUAAAUCUAAUUCUACUGCUUGCAUCAGUUACCUGAUGUGGAAUAGAGUUCCAUGUAGUCAUGGCUCUAUGUAGUACUGUGCACCUCCCAUAGUCUGUUCUGGACUUGGGGACUGUGACUAAUCCUCUUGUGGCAUGUCUUUUGGGGUAUGUAUGGGUGUCUGAGCUGUGUGCUCAUUGUUUAGACAGACACCUUGGUACAUUCAACUUGUCAACACUUCUUACAAAAACAAGUAGUGAUGAAGUCAAUCUCUCCUCCACUUUGAGCCAGGGGAGAUUGACAUGCAUAUUAUUAAUGUUAGCUCUCCGUGUACUUUUAAGUGCCAGCCAUGCUGCCCUGUUCUGAGACAGCCAUGCUGCCCUGUUCUGAGACAGCCAUGCUGCCCUGUUCUGAGACAGCCAUGCUGCCCUGUUCUGAGACAGCCAUGCUGCCCUGUUCUGAGCCAACUGCAAUUUCCCUAAGUCCCUCUUUGUGGCACCUGACCACACUGCAAGUGAUUGCUUUGUCACACAAUCGUACACACACUGCCACUCUGUGUUUCUUAUGGACUUUCAUUGACAGUUGAAACCUUCCAACUCACCCUGUUGUUUCUGACAACAACGUUUCUUCAACAUGGAAAACAAAACCUACAAGUGAAUAACUCCAUAUUCCCAUUUCAUGGAAUACAUUGCUACAUACUGUAGUGAAGAACUCUCAUUUUAAGUCAACUCAUAACUAGAAUAAUAACAUUGACUAAAAGCAAAGAUAUUCAAAUAUAAUAAUGGCCUGAAGAUGUUCCACCCCUCCCCUCCGAAAUCCUUUUACAGGGUCCAAUCACACUGCUUCAUCUUAACCUCGCAGUGACACUUGAUGUAAACUUAAUUUUCACUUAAACCUGUUCCAUCUGCCUCGCCUUGGAUUGAGAAUAUCGCCCGUGGACACAGUGUAGUUAGUUAGUUGUUACUUUGCCAGUUCUCCAACCCCUCACACACUGACUCAUACAUAAGAACGUAGUCUAAUAUAAAUGCAUUAUGAUGCUGGAUUCACACCAAGUUCUGCUGUUUAUCUCCCUUCCCUGCUUUUGGAGUUAUAAUGUCAAACCCCUUUCUGACUCAUAAGAAGGUACUGAAAGCAUUCGUAUGCUAAGUACAUGCAGAUUUCUGUUAUUUGGUUUAUUGAGUGCUUUACUUACAUGCCAUUAACUGUUGCAUUGUAUGAUGGUAGUCUAAAAUACAUGCAGUAGGAUGCUAGGUUCUUAUUUCCCUAUUUCCGUGUUACUUUCCUUUCUAAAAGCGUAAGAAGGUCCCUAUUAGUUCUGAAACCGACAACCAUUAGAAUAUCAAUCUCAAUGACAACCAUUAGAAUGUCCAUUUCUGGUCUGCCUGUUCUUUUUACUGCAUUUGGUUGAUAAUGGCUCCUACUUCCAUCCCAUUAACUGUUGCAUUAACAUCAUGGAUCAAACGGAUGCUGCAGGGCCUGUAAUUAAUGUCGGAGGCGUCUCUUGGGGCUACCUUGUAAUGGUGGUUGUGUUGGGUCACUACCAGUUAGUAUAAUGCCGUUAAUUGCUCCCAGAAUAAGAUCCUUUAGCAUUUUAAAAACAUAAUGGCUGCAUUUUCACAGGCAAGCCUGGUCAAUAGACCAAUUAUUUAAAACAUUAUCAGAAUUGGGCUGCCUGUGUAAACGCAGCCAUAGUGACUUCAGUGAACUCCUAAGGCUGGCCAUGUUGUGCUGUUGAAACAUAUAAAUAUACAUAUAAAUAUAUGCUUGUUUUUGUGUCAUUUAAUAUACAUUUGCCAUUCCAAACACACAACACUUGAAGUCUAAACUAAGUUUAGAGAACUAAGAUUAUCUCCUGAUGUCAAACUAAUGCAGUGUUAGCAAAGACUCAAUUAUGUUCUUUCAAUUUUUUUGUUUCUCACUUUUUCAGACGAAUGCACAGUGACGAGGUCGUACCUUUUCCUCCACAAGUUCUGGUUCUUCAGUACCAUCUACUACUUUGGUAACUGGGUGUUUAUCGGGGUUUUCCUCAUCGGCCUGUUGGUGUCAUGUUGUAAGGGAAGGAAAUCAGUGAUCGAAGGAGAGGUGGAGGCAGAUGACUCUGACAUGAGUGAAGACGAAUACAUUCACUGACAAGACCACAGCCUGCCAGACCUGGGUUCAAAUACUAUUUGAAAUGUUUUAAAUACUUUUGAGCAUUUGCUUUAGCCUGCCUGGGAGUGCCGGGUGGGCGGGGUUUGCAUGUUCUGGACUUUUCUAUGGGUUCACCUGCAAAAGGCAAGCUUAAUCAAAUACAAUUGAAAUAUUUUAAAACAUUUUAAACAGUGUGCCCUAAUGAAUAUGACCCAGGUCUGCUACCUGCAUAGACCAGGAGACAUUUAAACCGGAUUGGUUUCUGUUACAGCUGGUUUGCUAUAACAUAAGAAUAUGACAUUUGGAUUGUUCAUACAAGGCAGUAAAACUUUAAUUUGAACUAUUGCUUUCUGGUUUCUGCCUGAGAUUGGUUAAUAUUCCACAACAUUGUGUUGAUACUGAUGUAUUAUAAUGGGAGAGGGUGUUGGGAGGUAGCUUUUUUCUAUUAGGGCAACUUUUUGUUUUUUGUUCAGUCAAGUGUCUUUGUUCAAAGCAGUAUGUAAACCCUGAAUGUAUCCCAAAUGGCACUCCAUUUCAAAUAUAGUGCACUUCUUUUGACCAAAGCCCUAUUGGACCCUGGUCAAAAGUAGUGCACUAAAUAGGGAAUAGUGUUCCAUUUGAGAUGCAACCCUGUUUGUGUUACUAUGGGUAUGUGCCUGUUGUUUCAAAUGUCAUCUCCACCAAUUCCAUAUCUUUAUGUUUUUCCAAAAAGAAAGAUUUAGUGUUGCAAAAUUCUGGUAUAUUUUCCAAAAUGAAAUGAUUCUGAAUUUCCUGCUUAUUUCCCUCACUAUUCUGGGAAUCUUCAAAUGGGGAUGAAAAAGACAGAAAAACCAUGUGAUUUGUGGAAAGAUCCCAACAUUUUCCAACCCUAAGAAAGAUCCCUGGUUGAGAACCAAACGGUGAGUUAUUCAACAAGCCUGUGGUACUGGAUGUUUUGGAUCCUGAAAAGACAAGAUGUUGUUGGGGAAACAUAGUCCAGGAUUACUUUGUUUCUUAUUUAUUUGAACUCAGCACAUUUUUGUUGACAUGUACAUUUCUGUAAUAUAUGGCUGGAUAAAUGUUUAUUUUAGCCUUUAACAGAUUUAUUAUUUUUAAGAUUACUAACUUAGCACAUUCAGCAUGUUAACUUACAGCAACAAAUAUGGACAUGUAUUUGAUACCAUAUUGAUAAUGCACAUUGCUGAGUUAAAAUAUAUAUUCUCUUAUCCCUGAUUUUGGUGGUGUUUGUUUGGGCUUAACUUGACUAACUGUUGUUGCGUUGAUGUAUUGAUUUUCUGUAAAGUUAUCUUAACAUGAACUGAGCAUAAUAUCACUUGACUACUGAUCACGAUGUCAAUUUACUUUAUGAAUUUGGAAUAAAUUAUGAAUUCUGAAUUGA
Oncorhynchus masou masou (cherry salmon) is the source of this 3949-nucleotide long non-coding RNA. RefSeq lists it as uncharacterized. The record is from RefSeq and is a predicted model, not a curated record. The transcript is spliced from 2 exons. NCBI's taxonomy places the organism in Eukaryota, Metazoa, Chordata, Actinopteri, Salmoniformes, Salmonidae.